This 253-nucleotide ribosomal RNA is filed under the name uncultured bacterium. Its description in RNAcentral is "partial 16S ribosomal RNA". It matches the Rfam family "Bacterial small subunit ribosomal RNA", at positions 524 to 776 of the family's 1533-position model. The record is from RNAcentral.
UACGUAGGUGGCAAGCGUUGUCCGGAUUUAUUGGGUUUAAAGGGUGCGUAGGCGGUUCCAUAAGUCAGUGGUGAAAUACGGCAGCUCAACUGUCGAGGUGCCAUUGAUACUGGGGAACUUGAGUACUGAUGAGGUAGGCGGAAUGGACGGUGUAGCGGUGAAAUGCUUAGAGAUCGUCCAGAACACCGAUAGCGAAGGCAGCUUACUAAGGAGUAACUGACGCUGAGGCACGAAAGUGUGGGGAUCAAACAGG